RNAcentral lists this ribosomal RNA (518 nucleotides) under Paretroplus kieneri. Its description in RNAcentral is "partial large subunit ribosomal RNA". It matches the Rfam family "Bacterial large subunit ribosomal RNA", at positions 1923 to 2597 of the family's 2925-position model. The record is from RNAcentral. Lineage: Eukaryota; Metazoa; Chordata; Actinopteri; Cichliformes; Cichlidae.
UUUAACGGCCGCGGUAUUUUGACCGUGCAAAGGUAGCGCAAUCACUUGUCUUUUAAAUGAAGACCUGUAUGAAUGGCAUGACGAGGGCUUAACUGUCUCUUCUUUCCAGUCAAUGAAACUGAUCUCCCCGUGCAGAAGCGGGGAUACCCCCAUAAGACGAGAAGACCCUAUGGAGCUUUAGACGUAUGACAGCCCAUGUUAAACACCUCUAAACAAAGAACAAAACUUAUUGAGGUCUGCUCUAAUGUCUUUGGUUGGGGCGACCGCGGGGAAACAAAAAACCCCCAUGUGGACUGAAGGCACCCCCUUACAGCCAAGAGCAACAGCUCUAAACAACAGAACUUCUGACCAACAAGAUCCGGCAAGCCGAUCAACGGACCAAGUUACCCUAGGGAUAACAGCGCAAUCUCCUUCUAGAGCCCAUAUCGACAAGGAGGUUUACGACCUCGAUGUUGGAUCAGGACAUCCUAAUGGUGCAGCCGCUAUUAAGGGUUCGUUUGUUCAACGAUUAAAGUCCU